This 82-nucleotide transfer RNA is filed under the name Firmicutes bacterium CAG:345. It matches the Rfam family "tRNA". Rfam says of the family: Transfer RNA (tRNA) molecules are approximately 80 nucleotides in length. Their secondary structure includes four short double-helical elements and three loops (D, anti-codon, and T loops). Lineage: Bacteria; Bacillati; Bacillota. The record is from Rfam by way of RNAcentral.
GGGCGUAUGGUGAAAUAGGUAGACACGAUGGACUUAGAAUCCAUUGACGCGAGUCAUGCAAGUUCGAUUCUUGUUACGCCCA